RNAcentral lists this ribosomal RNA (715 nucleotides) under Candidatus Krumholzibacteriia bacterium. RNAcentral describes it as "partial 23S ribosomal RNA". It matches the Rfam family "Archaeal large subunit ribosomal RNA", at positions 158 to 878 of the family's 2987-position model. Lineage: Bacteria; Candidatus Krumholzibacteriota; Candidatus Krumholzibacteriia. The record is from RNAcentral.
GGUCGAACCGUCGGAAUUGAAGCAUCUUAGUACGACGUGGAAGAGAAAUCAAUAGAGAUUACCCAAGUAGUGGCGAACGAAAAGGUAACAGCCCAAACUGAAUCUGUUAUGGUAACUUAACAGAGAUGUGGUGUAUACGGACUCAUAUAAUGAUCCUAGAACAUAGUUGAAAUAAUCUGGAACGUUUUGGCAUAGAGGGUGAUACCCCCGUAAACGAAAUGGUAUAGGAUUAGUUGAGUACCAGAGUAGAUGUCCUUGGUAGUGGGCAUCGAAUAUUAGGAGAAAGUAGCUUCUAAGGCUAAAUAUAACUCAAAACCGAUAGUGCACUAGUACCGUGAGGGAAAGCUGAAAAGUACCCCGGAAGGGGGGUGAAAAGUGCAUGAAAUCUAUUACUUACAGACGUGCAUAGCAUGAAAGGUGAUUUUUCCAGAUUGGAGGUUCUAGCAAUAGAGCUAAAGAUUUGGAGCUCAAAUCGUCAGUGUUACGCGUUCCGUCUCGAAACACGGGCCAAGGAGCUAACUGUCAUGGCAAGACUAAACCAGACAAGGUGGAGUCGAAGGGAAACCGAGUUCUCGCAGCAUUAGCGAGGAGAAGCGUGUGAAAGUGCGUUGAGUCAUGGCGGCCAGGCUAGAAGCCAGUCGAUCUAAUCCUGAGCAAGCUGAAGGCGGGCGAAAGCCCGCUGGAGGGCUGAAGCAGUUCUGACGUGCAAAUCGUU